This 245-nucleotide ribosomal RNA is filed under the name uncultured bacterium. Its description in RNAcentral is "partial 16S ribosomal RNA". It matches the Rfam family "Bacterial small subunit ribosomal RNA", at positions 524 to 768 of the family's 1533-position model. The record is from RNAcentral.
UACGGGGGGGGCAAGCGUUGUUCGGAAUUACUGGGCGUAAAGGGCGCGUAGGCAGUUUGCUAAGUUGGAUGUGAAAACUCUGGGCUUAACCCAGAGCCUGCAUUCAAAACUGACAGGCUAGAGUUCUGGAGGGGAUAGCGGAAUUCCUGGUGUAGCGGUGAAAUGCGUAGAUAUCAGGAGGAACACCGGUGGCGAAGGCGGCUAUCUGGACAGAAACUGACGCUGAGGCGCGAAAGCUAGGGGAG